Molecule: transfer RNA, 68 nt
Filed under: Marmota monax (woodchuck)
Lineage: Eukaryota; Metazoa; Chordata; Mammalia; Rodentia; Sciuridae
Description: tRNA.Ala
Source: RNAcentral
GGAUUGUGACUCAGUGGUAGAGCACUUGCCUAGCAUGUGUGAGGUACUGGGUUCGAUUCUCAGCACCA